AUGGCUUUGUUCAACCUUGAGACAGAGGAGUGGAUGGGGAUUGUCAAAGGUCCAAUGUCAGUGCGCAGCUUUGUUGAGGAUAGCAAUGGCAGGUCCAGUUACGUUAGUCUAGACUUGGAGCUAUCACUGGUAUGUUUGGAUGGGUUCUUAGGUAAGGCCCACGAUUCUGAAUAUUGCCCUUGGGACUUAUGGUUUUUGAUGGAUAUUGAGAAAUGUCUCUGGAAUAAAAGGUACAGCAUAGAUCCCCAACGUGAAAAUCUCUUUGCUCAACCAGUGGACAUUCUAAAUGAUGGGAGGAUAGUCAUCUCUGCACCAGGAUUGCUAAGGUUGUAUAAUCCAGUUACCAAGACUUACACUGAUUGUGGGAUGAGGAAAUCCUCAUCUGUUGGUACUUACACUGGAAGUCUAUUGUCUUCAGAGAGCACGUUCACUUCUGAGGCUGAACGAUGCACUACCUGCGGCUGCUAUUUCACCCUCGAAGCCGAUAAAUAUUCUGACACCUGUGAAGAUUGUAUGUGGCGUGCAUAUGCAUGGUCAUGUUGA
Molecule: ribosomal RNA, 543 nt
Filed under: Triticum aestivum (bread wheat)
Lineage: Eukaryota; Viridiplantae; Streptophyta; Magnoliopsida; Poales; Poaceae
Description: partial small subunit ribosomal RNA
Source: RNAcentral